UUGAAAAAUUAGACUUUACGU
This 21-nucleotide non-coding RNA is filed under the name Caenorhabditis elegans. The record is from RNAcentral. Lineage: Eukaryota; Metazoa; Nematoda; Chromadorea; Rhabditida; Rhabditidae.